Molecule: long non-coding RNA, 1185 nt
Organism: Vitis riparia (riverbank grape)
Lineage: Eukaryota; Viridiplantae; Streptophyta; Magnoliopsida; Vitales; Vitaceae
Exons: 3
Source: RefSeq, a predicted model, not a curated record
CACUCUGCGUUGACCGAGAUUCCGUUGCUGUGGACAAUUACUGUAGCAGGGGAAUUUCGCCACCAACAGUACCUAUGAUAAUUCUCUCCCGUUAUCCUUCUCAAUAUUGGACAUCUCCCCCAGGUUGACUAACUUCGCAAUCAAUGGUCCUAAGGGGCUUGAGAAGCUCUGCAUUUCGAUUUCAGAGGGGGAUCCCACAUCUCUUUAUAAAUUGGAAAUCAAUGGGUGCUCUGAUCUUGUAUACAUCUAACUGCCCGCUCUUGAGUCGAUGUCCCAUUUGAUUCACAAUUGUUCCAAGCUCAGAUUGUUCGCGCAUACCCAUGCAUCUCUGUAGAACCCGAGUUUAGGGGAUUGUCGAGAAUUGUUGUUUCACAGAGAGGGCUUGCCUUCCAACCUAUGUGAACUUCAAAUCUAUAGCCGCAACCAACUCACAUCCCAGGUGGACUGGGAUUUGCAAAGACUGAGCUUUCUUACUCAUUUCACAAUCUUUGGUAGAUGUGAAGACGUGGAAUUAUUUCCCAAGGAGUGUCUGCUGCCCUCUUCUCUGACUUAUCUUUAUGUCUAUGGUCUUCCAAACCUCAAGUCUCUAGACAACAAGGGGCUUCAACACCUUGUCUCUCUAAAAAAAUUACGAAUACAGGACUGCCCAAGUCUCCAAUCCUUGACAGGAUCUGUUAUUCAACACCUUAUCUCUCUCAAAGAAUUACAAAUCUACUCGUGCCCAAGGCUCCAAUCCUUGACAGAAGCAGGUCUUCACCACCUCACCACUCUUGAAACCUUAGAUCUCUACAAGUGUCCUAAGCUCCAAUACUUGACAAAAGAGAGACUGCCAAACUCCCUCUUUUAUAUGUCUGUCUUCAAGUGUCCUUCACUAGAACAACAGUGCCAAUUUGAGAAAAGGAAAGAAUGGCCUUUUAUAUCUCACAUUCCAAAAAUAGUGAUCGAUGAUGUGCUAUUUUAAUGAAAGUGGCACUGCCCAACAUAUCGGCAGCUUCAAGCCUAGGACAAAUGUUAUUCGAAGGCCGUAGAUGAGGAUUCAACCUAGGUGCUGACAUUUUGACACAGACAAUUCAGAUCAUAUUUUAAUGGCAUGGAGAAAACCGUGGAUGCAUUCUAGCUACCUGCUUAUUGGUAGGUAAUUUUAAUUACUUAUGAUUCUGAUGUCCCUUUUUUUUAUAUUCUCAA